CCUACGGGGAGCAGCAGUGAGGAAUAUUGGUCAAUGGGCGCAAGCCUGAACCAGCCAAGUCGCGUGAGGGAUGACGGUCCUAUGGAUUGUAAACCUCUUUUGUCGGGGAGCAAGGCCCGCCACGUGUGGCGGGAAGGAGAGUACCCGAAGAAAAAGCAUCGGCUAACUCCGUGCCAGCAGCCGCGGUAAUACGGAGGAUGCGAGCGUUAAUCGGAAUUACUGGGCGUAAAGGGUGUGCAGGCGGCUGAGUAAGACAGAUGUGAAAUCCCCGGGCUUAACCUGGGAACCGCAUAUGUGACUGCUUGGCUAGAGUGCGUCAGAGGGAGGUGGAAUUCCACGUGUAGCAGUGAAAUGCGUAGAUAUGUGGAAGAACACCGAUGGCGAAGGCAGCCUCCUGGGACGCAACUGACGCUCAUACACGAAAGCGUGGGGAGCAAACAGGAUUAGAUACCCGAGUAGUC
This 461-nucleotide ribosomal RNA is filed under the name uncultured bacterium. RNAcentral's name for it is "partial 16S ribosomal RNA". It matches the Rfam family "Bacterial small subunit ribosomal RNA", at positions 338 to 795 of the family's 1533-position model. The record is from RNAcentral.